CAGCCGCCGCGGUAAUACGAAGGUCCCAAGCGUUGUUCGGAAUCACUGGGCGUAAAGGGAGCGUAGGCGGCGUGGUAAGUCAGAUGUGAAAUCCCGGGGCUCAACCCCGGAACUGCAUUUGAUACUGCCAUGCUUGAGGGUUGGAGAGGUAGCUGGAAUUCUUGGUGCAGCAGUGAAAUGCGUGGAUAUCAAGAGGAACACUCGUGGCGAAGGCGAGCUACUGGACAACAUCUGACGCUGAGGCUCGAAGGCUAGGGUAGCGAAAGGGAUUAGAGACCCGUGUAGUCCCUGUCUCUUAUAC
RNAcentral lists this ribosomal RNA (301 nucleotides) under uncultured bacterium. Its description in RNAcentral is "partial 16S ribosomal RNA". It matches the Rfam family "Bacterial small subunit ribosomal RNA", at positions 509 to 807 of the family's 1533-position model. The record is from RNAcentral.